GAUGAACGCUAGCUACAGGCUUAACACAUGCAAGUCGAGGGGAAACGGCAUCGAAAGCUUGCUUUUGAUGGGCGUCGACCGGCGCACGGGUGAGUAACGCGUAUCCAACCUGCCCAUCACUUGGGAAUAACCUUGCGAAAGUAAGACUAAUGCCCAAUGACAUCCCACGAAGGCAUCCGAAUGGGAUUAAAGAUUUAUCGGUGAUGGAUGGGGAUGCGUCUGAUUAGCUUGUUGGCGGGGUGACGGCCCACCAAGGCAACGAUCAGUAGGGGUUCUGAGAGGAAGGUCCCCCACAUUGGAACUGAGACACGGUCCAAACUCCUACGGGAGGCAGCAGUGAGGAAUAUUGGUCAAUGGGCGAGAGCCUGAACCAGCCAAGUAGCGUGCAGGAUGACGGCCCUAUGGGUUGUAAACUGCUUUUAUAAGGGAAUAAAGUGGGCCACGUGUGACUUUUUGCAUGUACCUUAUGAAUAAGGACCGGCUAAUUCCGUG
This 492-nucleotide ribosomal RNA is filed under the name uncultured bacterium. RNAcentral's name for it is "partial 16S ribosomal RNA". It matches the Rfam family "Bacterial small subunit ribosomal RNA", at positions 28 to 507 of the family's 1533-position model. The record is from RNAcentral.